AUCCUUUUGUAGUUCGUAAGCAUGAUAAUUGGGUGUUCAUGCCAAUUUGUGACACAUGCCUCUCUCAAACCUUGUUACGACCUCGGCACAUCACCCGUCUGACG
This is a small nucleolar RNA of Ursus americanus (American black bear), 104 nucleotides long. Lineage: Eukaryota; Metazoa; Chordata; Mammalia; Carnivora; Ursidae. The record is from Ensembl.